UACAGAGGGGGCAAGCGUUGUUCGGAAUUACUGGGCGUAAAGGGCUCGUAGGCGGCUAACUAAGUCAUACGUGAAAUCCCUCAGCUUAACUGGGGAACUGCGUGUGAUACUGGAUGGCUUGGAUUUGGGAGAGGGAUGCGGAAUUCCAGGUGUAGCGGUGAAAUGCGUAGAUAUCUGGAGGAACACCGGUGGCGAAGGCGGCAUCCUGGACCAAUAUUGACGCUGAGGAGCGAAAGCUAGGGGAGCAAACGGG
This 253-nucleotide ribosomal RNA is filed under the name uncultured bacterium. Its description in RNAcentral is "partial 16S ribosomal RNA". It matches the Rfam family "Bacterial small subunit ribosomal RNA", at positions 524 to 776 of the family's 1533-position model. The record is from RNAcentral.